CCCCUAGAUGUUCUGGGCCGCACGCGCGCUACACUGAACAGUUCAACAAGUCUUAACCUUGGCCGAUAGGUCUGGGUAAUCUUUGAACGCUGUUCGUGAUUGGGAUAGACCUUUGCAAUUAUGGGUCUUCAACGAGGAAUUCCUAGUAAACGUAAGUCAUCAGCUUGCAUUGAUUACGUCCCUGCCCUUUGUACACACCGCCCGUCGCACCUACCGAUUGAAUGGUCCGGUGAAAUCUCGGGACGGCGGCUUGGUCGCUUGCGUCCGACUGCUGAAACUUGAUUAAACCAUAUCAUUUAGAGGAAGGUGAAGUCGUANCA
This 320-nucleotide ribosomal RNA is filed under the name uncultured eukaryote. RNAcentral's name for it is "partial 18S ribosomal RNA". It matches the Rfam family "Eukaryotic small subunit ribosomal RNA", at positions 1470 to 1796 of the family's 1831-position model. The record is from RNAcentral.